Molecule: long non-coding RNA, 443 nt
Organism: Solenopsis invicta (red fire ant)
Lineage: Eukaryota; Metazoa; Arthropoda; Insecta; Hymenoptera; Formicidae
Exons: 2
Source: RefSeq, a predicted model, not a curated record
CUGUACCGCCUGUACGCCUCGAUCUCGAUCACAACGAAUCGCGUUGGGGUGUCGUAAUUGUAUAGUAUUCACCAGGGACGUGUCUAGCGAACAUGCAAGGUGUGCACAGCACAUCCGGGCCGCUGUCACACGCUGAACGGGUGGAGAGGGAGGCACAUACACUAAAAAAAGUCAUGUAUAUGUGGUCAUAUAUUCACUCUACGCAUGCGUGAUCAUGUGGAAAACGUCGAGUAGUAGGAAAGGAACAGAAAUGACAAGAGGAGGAGAGUAAUUAAAGAGUUGAAGUAAUAUGGACAAUAUGAAGAUUCGACUAUACAUACCGAAUUUGUUUCUUUCUUUCCUAUUCUGUAUUCUAAAACAUUCUUAGACUUAAGCAACUUUUCUAUUCUUGAAUUUUGGAAAACUUCUUCGCUUAAUCUUCAACUAUGUGAUUCUUCAUGCUA